Molecule: long non-coding RNA, 998 nt
Organism: Lycium ferocissimum
Lineage: Eukaryota; Viridiplantae; Streptophyta; Magnoliopsida; Solanales; Solanaceae
Exons: 2
Source: RefSeq, a predicted model, not a curated record
CCUAAGAUGGGUCGACCCGACCCAGAUCUGCAUUUAAAUGCACCCAAACGAUCCCUUCAUUUCAUUGGCCCCAAAUUGAGACAAGCAUUCUCUCUCUCUCUCUCUCUCUCUCUCUCUCUCUCUCUCUCUCUCUCUCUCUCCGAAUCCUCACGUCACAUAGCCAGAAUUGGUAAAGUCGAGGACCCACGGCGGUCCUCGCAUGGUAGAAAGAGAGGCAAGAAAGGUAAGAGCAUUAAUUGUUCUGCCAAUUCUCGCCUAAUUUCACCCUUGUUCAACCCCAAAUGCACUGAAAGUCUUUUCCUUUUCCCCUUUUGAUUUCUGCAAUGAAUUAAUGGGUUUUGUCCCUUAGCCGACUUGAAAACUCUAUUUCUAUUGGUUCGUAGCAAAUGUCAUGGAUUCAAGACGAAUCCUUGACAAAAUCGCUUCUCCCACAUCGGAUGGCAACCAAUUUUUAUGGGUUUUAAUCUCUUACAUAAAGGAUACCUUAUUUCACUUUGAAAAAUAGGUUUGAAUGAGCAUAAGUCUUGAAAUCCCUAAAAUUUUAGGCGUUUGAGCAAACAUUCGAUAAUCUAGGGUUAAGCUUUUUGCAAACCUUUAAGUUUUGAGUGUUUGAGUAGAAAAUUUUAAUUGUUUUUUCUUUGGGUUCUGUGGCUAAGAUCGUGUAGAAGGAGGCAAGGUUCUCAAUUCCAUUCUCGACGAAAGGCUGCUCGGAGAAAACGUAAAAUCCCUGUGAUUGAUCGAAGCAUAUGUGGAAAUAUGCGGUGCCUAUCUGGAAGACCUCCUCCCAUUUCAUUUCGGGACGGAGAUUGAGUCUUAGAAUGUAGUGGUAAUCUGAAAGCAUUAGUCACUCUUGUACUAGUCUAGACCAGGUCAUGGGAAGUUGGAUCGAGUCUGUAUUUGUUACAUCGUUGUAAUUAUAUUAAAUCCUGAGUUUAUUGCAUGUAUUAUGAAGCUUCCGCUGAAUUUCUAAGUAUCUAUUGAUUUAAAUGAAUCGCCUU